CUCUUAACGGGGGAUCACUUGGCUCGUGGGUCG
RNAcentral lists this ribosomal RNA (33 nucleotides) under Penaeus vannamei (Pacific white shrimp). RNAcentral describes it as "partial 5.8S ribosomal RNA". The record is from RNAcentral. Lineage: Eukaryota; Metazoa; Arthropoda; Malacostraca; Decapoda; Penaeidae.